GGACGAACGCUGGCGGCGUGCUUAACACAUGCAAGUCGAGCGGGGUCCAACCGGUAGCAAUACCGGGGAAGACCUAGCGGCGAACGGGUGAGUAACACGUGAGCAAACCUGCCCCGAAGUCUGGGAGUAACACCGGGAAACCGGUGCUAAUACCGGAUGCCCUCAUCGAGUCACCUGGCUUGAUGAGGAAAGAUUUAUCGCUUCGGGAGGGGCUCGCGACCUAUCAGCUUGUUGGCGGGGUAACGGCCC
RNAcentral lists this ribosomal RNA (249 nucleotides) under uncultured bacterium. RNAcentral's name for it is "partial 16S ribosomal RNA". It matches the Rfam family "Bacterial small subunit ribosomal RNA", at positions 27 to 266 of the family's 1533-position model. The record is from RNAcentral.